UAGGACUUUAAUGGCUGGAGAGA
Molecule: microRNA, 23 nt
Filed under: Canis lupus familiaris (dog)
Lineage: Eukaryota; Metazoa; Chordata; Mammalia; Carnivora; Canidae
Description: cfa-miR-8900
Source: miRBase by way of RNAcentral